Long non-coding RNA from Homarus americanus (American lobster), 481 nucleotides. RefSeq lists it as uncharacterized. The record is from RefSeq and is a predicted model, not a curated record. The transcript is spliced from 3 exons. Lineage: Eukaryota; Metazoa; Arthropoda; Malacostraca; Decapoda; Nephropidae.
UUGUAUCAUCACACCUUACUCCUGUCUCUUGCUGAUAUCGUAACUGAGGCUGGUGAACCAUGAAUACCAAGAGCAUUGUAUUCCUGCUGGUGCUGGUGAUCGUGGCCGUCACCGUUGUCAAUGGAAGCAUCAAGUAUCCCUGCCCACAAGUCAACGGGUUUUGUGUAAGUUUUUGUAGUUACGGACAAGAAAUAUCUACCGGCAUCUGCUACGGCAAUAAUAUAUGUUGCAGGGUAAAACAGCCUUACCACUAGUCCACAACAGUGGCCAGACCUGACGGACGCCACCAUGACCUAUAAGAAGACACCCUCAACUGUGUUUGGUGAUCAUCGACGAAACUUCUGUUUUCACAUGCGAUUCGAGAACUUGCUUUACCUAUGAUUUUUUUUAAGCAUUUGAAUUCUGCAACAACCUUUAUUUUCUUGUUCUUGCACAUUUUAAGAAAUGAUGGAGAAUAUUAGUAAAAUUUAAUUUAACUUGA